RNAcentral lists this transfer RNA (73 nucleotides) under Mus musculus (house mouse). Its description in RNAcentral is "tRNA-Ser". The record is from RNAcentral. Lineage: Eukaryota; Metazoa; Chordata; Mammalia; Rodentia; Muridae.
GGAGAGAUGACUCAGUGGUUAAGAGCACUGACUGCUCUUCCAGAGGUCCUGAGUUCAAUUCCCAGCAACCACA